UAACAAGGAUUCCCCUAGUAACUGCGAGUGAAGCGGGAAGAGCUCAAAUUUAAAAUCUGGCGGCCUUCUGGACGUCCGAGUUGUAGUCUGGAGAAGUGUUAUCCGCGUCGGACCGUGUACAAGUCUCCUGGAACGGAGCGUCAUAGAGGGUGAGAAUCCCGUCCAUGACACGGACGCCCGAUGCUAUGUGAGGCACUCUCGAAGAGUCGAGUUGUUUGGGAAUGCAGCUCAAAAUGGGUGGUAAAUUCCAUCUAAAGCUAAAUAUUGGCGAGAGACCGAUAGCGAACAAGUACCGUGAGGGAAAGAUGAAAAGCACUUUGGAAAGAGAGUUAAACAGUACGUGAAAUUGUUGAAAGGGAAACGCUUGAAGUCAGUCGCGUCCCGUGGAACUCAGCCUGGUUUCGACCUGGUGUACUUUCCAUGUGGACGGGUCAACAUCAAUUUCGGCCGGUGGACAAGGGCGAGGGGAAUGUAGCGUUGCUUCGGCGACGUGUUAUAGCCCCCCGUCGCAUACACUGGCUGGGAUUGAGGACCGCAGCACGCCCUUGUGGCCGGGGGGUUCGCCCCACGUAACGUGCUUAGGAUGUUGGCAUAAUGGCUUUAAGCGACCCGUCUUGAAACACGGACCAAGGAGUCUAACAUGCUUGCGAGUGUUCGGGUGGAAAACCCUUGCGCGUAAUGAAAGUGAAAGUUGGGAACCUCCGCGAGGGGGUGCACCGACGCCCGGCCCUGACGUUCUCUGACGGUGCCGCGGUAGAGCACGUAUGUUGGGACCCGAAAGAUGGUGAACUAUGCCUGAAUAGGGCGAAGCCAGAGGAAACUCUGGUGGAGGCUCGUAGCGAUUCUGACGUGCAAAUCGAUCGUCAAAUUUGGG
This 874-nucleotide ribosomal RNA is filed under the name Sanghuangporus sanghuang. RNAcentral describes it as "LSU rRNA". It matches the Rfam family "Eukaryotic large subunit ribosomal RNA", at positions 66 to 915 of the family's 3401-position model. Lineage: Eukaryota; Fungi; Basidiomycota; Agaricomycetes; Hymenochaetales; Hymenochaetaceae. The record is from RNAcentral.